GCGGCGUCCGGCUUCCCGGGCCGAGUGUCGCGCUGAGAAAGGUUGGCUUCACCCACCCGGUUGCGCCUCCCAGCUCACUGCAUUAAGCCCCUUGUGUGUGGGGGGGGCGCUCAGAGGCAUUAGGAAAACACCACUGAUCAUUCACCGUGGCCUGAGCUUUUAGCGGGCGCUUGCAGUGUGUCGCGUUCAGUACCUCAUCACUGCGCGGAGUCCUCCCAACGAGUCCAUGAGAUAAGGAAGGCGUGACACCCAUUUGCAGAUUCCAUCCCGAGGGUCGUGGGGUUUAAUUCACCCCGGUCACACACCAGGAAAACUACAAUCAGAAUUGGAGUCUGUGUGACUCCAGGGACCCCAGUGACGGGACAAUAUCAAAACUUGAUUAUCAAGUUAAAAUAACGCGCCAUGCUGCAAUGAACUUUGUACACAUCCUGUUGGUACUGUUUUGGUAUUUCUUUCCGGCAAAUUCCAUAAAAAGAAAUGAUGAGAUCAAAGGGAAUGUUCGUUUAAAAUCGUUUUUGCUCCAUACAAUUAUGCAAAUUGACCUUCACCAACAAUGUAUCAAGGACCCCACUGAGGAGCAGAGAGAAAGAAGCUGGAAGAAGUGAUGAUGGAUGUCCAGGGCCUGAGGGAAGCAUCAUAUGCAACCGGCCAAUCGUUCAGCAGAGAUGACUUUGCAUGCAUCCGAAUAUCCUCAGCAGUUAGGGUAGGGUAUUUGUGUGUGUGUGUUUCUCUGAAGAAUCCGUAAAGCA
This is a long non-coding RNA of Lynx canadensis (Canada lynx), 749 nucleotides long. RefSeq lists it as uncharacterized. The record is from RefSeq and is a predicted model, not a curated record. The transcript has 3 exons. Lineage: Eukaryota; Metazoa; Chordata; Mammalia; Carnivora; Felidae.